AGUAUUUUGGCCACGUCACGGACGAUUGUCUUCUCCAGUUCCCCUCUCAAUUCGUUCGGUUCUGCUUCUCCCUAGUUAAUAGCUUCCAUUUACAACCAUCUCUCUCUCUCUCUCUCUCUCUCUCUCUCUCUCUCUCUCUCUCUCUCUCUCUCUGUGGAAUUUCCAAACUGUUACAUGUCUCCAUAACUCUCUUUCUCCUACUCCGAACUCCGAAGUCACCUUAAAUUCGAAAUGAAUACUGCGAAGUCAACUUCCGAGGCACUGGCUGCUUUAUUAUUCAUACGACGCCUAUUCAGAGGAAUCCGACAAGUCUGUCUCUACGCCUUUCUCCACGACCUGGUUAUGGAUGACUCAUUUACUACUGAGAAAAAGGCUACAAAUCAAAAAAAAAAAAAAAAGGCUACAAAUCACCAUAUACGCUCAUUCAAAGAAGUCCCAACGCUUUCUCCUACCGCAAGGCGCAAAGCAGAGAUACUCUUUACGGGGUUAUGUCCCGUUGUCCUGUUCUCAUCCAGAGUUUCGGCCGUUGCAGGAUCUCAUCAGAGGCACCAAGAGGAGCCACAACUCUCACUUUCAGGCCAUUGCCAAAAAGAAGCUUAAAAUGAUGUAAGUAAUCUCUUAAUAAAGAAAAAAGUUAUCUAAUUUUAAAAUUGGAGAUUGAUUGAUUCAUUGUGUGAUGAUUUUUUUCGCCAUGAAUAACUACUCUACUCUGUCAUGGAUAACGAAACAUUGAGGUUUGGAGCGAAACAUGUGCGUUGAAACUCAUAUGGAUGCUCUACUUCAGAGCUGGAUCGAUCUGGGUUGCUUGGAUAAGGCAAAGGGGUGAGGACACUUACUUCUGCUGGGACCCGUGGACUCCCUUUGGUUCUCUAUACAUGUUCUUGGGAUCUGAUGGUCCUUCUCAGCUGGGAGUUCCUCUGUUUGCGCUAGUCUCUCUCUGCUGCUAGGUCUAAUAAUCAUCUGGAGCUCCUCUCAUUCAUAACUACUUUAUCCCUAGCUGAUAGGCAUGAUCAGCCUUUGUGGAUUGUUAACGGUAAAAUUCAUAAAACCUUCACCUCGAAGGUAAUAUGGGAUGCAAUUAGGCCUUAACUUCCAGCUAAAUCUUGGGCCCCUUUGCUUUGGCACAAUGGAGUUAUCCCUCGUCAUGCUACAACUUCUUGGCUAUUUGUCCUAGAUAGGAACCCAACAGUGGAUUGCCUCGCAUCUUGGGGUCUCGAUGUUGAUACUGCAUGUCUCCUUUGUGGUAUCGCUAAUGAAUCAAGGAAUCACUUGUUUUUGUGUCAAUACUCUAAUGAAGUUUGGUUCUGGCUCUGUGCUAAACUUAAUCACCGGUCCCCGUCAUCUUCUUGGAACGAUGUAUUAUGUUGGUUAGCAUCUGUUUUUUCUCCUGAUCGCGUAGAAUUGCUCUUCUGCAAGCAUGGCAAGCUGCGAUUUAUGUAAUUUGACAGGAACGCAACACUCGGUUCUACUCCGGUCUCACUGUUCCUGCAUCAGUCUUGGGCUUCAAAAUCCUGCGUACUGUCACUAACAAGUGUACUGCAAUGUUCUCUCUUGGUCAGAACCUUGGGCUUCUCUUUUGCGCAUUUAGAAACCGCCUUAAUGUUUCUAGCUCGUUUUCAGCUCUUUGUAAUAUCUUCAAACUUUAAAAGCUACUUAGUGGCUUCACUUUAUUAAUGAAAACCCUUUAAAAAAAAGAAAAGAAAAUGAGAAUAAACAUAUUUACUCAA
Long non-coding RNA from Raphanus sativus (radish), 1727 nucleotides. RefSeq lists it as uncharacterized. The record is from RefSeq and is a predicted model, not a curated record. The transcript is spliced from 2 exons. Lineage: Eukaryota; Viridiplantae; Streptophyta; Magnoliopsida; Brassicales; Brassicaceae.